CCUACGGGUGGCAGCAGUGAGGAAUAUUGGUCAAUGGGCGCGAGCCUGAACCAGCCAAGUAGCGUGAAGGAUGACUGCCCUACGGGUUAUAAACUUCUUUUAUAAAGGAAUAAAGUGAGGCACGUGUGCCUUUUUGUAUGUACUUUAUGAAUAAGGAUCGGCUAACUCCGUGCCAGCAGCCGCGGUAAUACGGAAGGUCCGAGCGUUAUCCGGAUUUAUUGGGUUUAAAGGGAGCGUAGAUGGGUUGUUAAGUCAGUUGGGAAAGUUUGCGGCUCAACCGUAAAAUUGCAAUUGAUACUGGCAGUCUUGAGUACGGGUGAGGUAGGCGGAAUUCGUGGUGUAGCGGUGAAAUGCUUAGAUAUCACGAAGAACUCCGAUUGCGAAGGCAGCUUACUAAACUGCCACUGACAUUGAGGCACGAAAGUGUGGGUAUCAAACAGGAUUAGAUACCCGAGUAGUC
RNAcentral lists this ribosomal RNA (460 nucleotides) under uncultured bacterium. Its description in RNAcentral is "partial 16S ribosomal RNA". It matches the Rfam family "Bacterial small subunit ribosomal RNA", at positions 338 to 795 of the family's 1533-position model. The record is from RNAcentral.